GACGAGGGACCCUAGCGUUGUUCGGAAUCAUUGGGCGUAAAGCGGGUGUAGGUGGCUUUGUAAGUCAGGUGUGAAAUCCCUGGGCUCAACCCAGGACGUGCAUUUGAUACUGCGAAGCUUGAGUGCCGGAGAGGUUACUGGAAUACCUGGUGUAGUGGUGAAAUACGUAGAUAUCAGGUGGAACACCGGAGGCGAAGGCGGGUAACUGGCCGGACACUGACACUCAGACCCUAAAGCGUGGGGAUCAAACAGGAUUAGAUACCCGCGUAGUCC
This 273-nucleotide ribosomal RNA is filed under the name uncultured bacterium. RNAcentral describes it as "partial 16S ribosomal RNA". It matches the Rfam family "Bacterial small subunit ribosomal RNA", at positions 524 to 796 of the family's 1533-position model. The record is from RNAcentral.